RNAcentral lists this ribosomal RNA (484 nucleotides) under uncultured bacterium. Its description in RNAcentral is "partial 16S ribosomal RNA". It matches the Rfam family "Bacterial small subunit ribosomal RNA", at positions 30 to 507 of the family's 1533-position model. The record is from RNAcentral.
AUUGAACGCUGGCGGCAUGCUUUACACAUGCAAGUCGAACGGCAGCACGGGCUUCGGCCUGGUGGCGAGUGGCGAACGGGUGAGUAAUAUAUCGGAACGUACCCAGAAGUGGGGGAUAACGUAGCGAAAGUUACGCUAAUACCGCAUACGAUCUAUGGAUGAAAACAGGGGACCGCAAGGCCUUGUGCUCCUGGAGCGGCCGAUAUCUGAUUAGCUAGUUGGUGAGGUAAAGGCUCACCAAGGCGACGAUCAGUAGCUGGUCUGAGAGGACGACCAGCCACACUGGAACUGAGACACGGUCCAGACUCCUACGGGAGGCAGCAGUGGGGAAUUUUGGACAAUGGGCGCAAGCCUGAUCCAGCAAUGCCGCGUGAGUGAAGAAGGCCUUCGGGUUGUAAAGCUCUUUUGUCAGGGAAGAAACGGUAGAGGCUAAUAUCCUUUGCUAAUGACGGUACCUGAAGAAUAAGCACCGGCUAACUACGUG